This 147-nucleotide unclassified non-coding RNA is filed under the name soil metagenome. RNAcentral's name for it is "partial internal transcribed spacer 1". The record is from RNAcentral.
CCGAGUUUACAACUCCCAAACCCCUGUGAACAUACCACUUGUUGCCUCGGCGGAUCAGCCCGCUCCCGGUAAAACGGGACGGCCCGCCAGAGGACCCCUAAACUCUGUUUCUAUAUGUAACUUCUGAGUCAAACCAUAAAUAAAUCA